RNAcentral lists this non-coding RNA (31 nucleotides) under Homo sapiens (human). The record is from RNAcentral. Lineage: Eukaryota; Metazoa; Chordata; Mammalia; Primates; Hominidae.
ACAACCAAUGUGGUGUGAGCAGGUGAGCCCU